Molecule: long non-coding RNA, 256 nt
Filed under: Ananas comosus (pineapple)
Lineage: Eukaryota; Viridiplantae; Streptophyta; Magnoliopsida; Poales; Bromeliaceae
Description: long non-coding RNA (ACOM_LNC005447)
Source: RNAcentral
ACCUUCACCACAAAUGAUCUAUUCUUCAUACCUGAGGUGCCGAGCUUUCCGAAUGAGUCUUUGUUCUUUUAUUUGAAUCUUUUCUUCAAAACUUCCGCGAUCAACUCUUCAAGACUCCAUUCAACUUUACGAAAUCCGCCAACCUAUAAAAUCCUUAACAUCAUCUACUAUGAUCCACAAUAUGGCAACAUGCAUAGUUCAUCCAACAUAAUCUACAAUAUGUCAACAUACAUGUUUUAUCUAACAUAUUCCAAUG